AAUAUUGCGCAAUGGAGGAAACUCUGACGCCGCGACGCCGCGCGAGCUCAGAAGGUCUUCGCAUCGUAAAGCUCUGUCCUCUGGGAAGAAUAUCGAGAGAUAUGACGGCACCCGAGCAGGAAGCCCCGGCUAACGACGUGCCAGAAGCCGCGGUAAGACGUACGGGGCAAGCGUUGUCCGGAAUUAUUGGGCGUUAAGGGUGGGUAGGCGGAUUUUUAAGUCAAGUGUGAAAGAGCCCGGGUUAACCGUGGGGUUGGAUUUGAAAAUGGGAGGCUUGAGUAUCGGAGGGGGUAGUGGAAUUCCCGGUGUAGGGGUGAAAUGCGUAGAUAUUGGGAGAGACACCAGUGGCGAAGGCGACUACCUGGAUGAAAACUGACGCUGAUGCACGAAAGCUGUGGGAGCAAACCG
RNAcentral lists this ribosomal RNA (408 nucleotides) under uncultured bacterium. Its description in RNAcentral is "partial 16S ribosomal RNA". It matches the Rfam family "Bacterial small subunit ribosomal RNA", at positions 360 to 775 of the family's 1533-position model. The record is from RNAcentral.